CAUCACCUGGUCUCCUGCCAGCCACUUUCCACUUUCUAGGAGAUAAAUCCUGCCAGUUUUGGGGACACAGGCACUGCCACCUAUGUAGGGAGGGUCAGGGCUGCCUGGAAAGCUGGAAGUGACAAUGCUCCUGGUGGGAACACCUCACUGCAGUGCUGGGGAGGAGCUGAGGGGUGGAUCAGCCUGAGGAGAUGGAUGUGUCAGCGAGGGAUUCAGGGGCAGCCACAGCUUCUCUGGGCACCCUGUUCAUUGUGAUGUGAAGAAACUGUGACAUUGGGCUAUAACAGGAAGAUGAGAACACCACCAGUGACAGGCAGACCAAAAAGGACAAGAUCUGUGAAUAUGAGGAUGUUCUGAGAGUGCAUUUCUUUAAGAGGAAAAAAACUUCCCUGUCAUCCACCUCUGGCUUCUGCUGGACUACAUGGAGGAGUAGCCACUGACAUGGACAAAAUAUUGAGUUGGUAAUGCUGUGCUGGUUGGCAGCUGGGAAUGUCAAGCCCCUCAAUGUGUUGUUUUCCAAGUCUGAUGCCAGGAAAUGAGUUUUAUGACCUGGAGUGUGACAAAAAUUUGCCUGGAUGAGCAUUGUCCCUUUUGGGACAGCACUGGGCUCAAUUAGUGCAGCAUCUACCCCUGGAGAGCAUUCCUGGGAAACUGUCCUGUCAGCUCACCCAGAUUCCUGCCUGCAGAGAGCCACUGGAUGUGGCUCUUAAAUAAAAAGAAGAAAAAAAAAAAAGUAAGGAAGGAAGAGGAAAAUUACCAAUUAAUCAUUAAUCAUGGAUGGGUGCCCAAGAGCAGGGGCUCUCUGAGAGGUGAGGCACAGCCCUCCCUUGGCUGUGAGCCUCUCUGCUCAAGGAGAAAGAGCUGAAGCAAGUCUCCAUCUCCUGCACCUCCUUCUGUGAGCAGCCCUUCAGAGGCAGCAGAUGGGUCCAGCGUGGCACCAACACAAUCAGAAAUAGCUCUGGCACAGCUCCCCACGUGGUUUCAGACUGUCUCAUCCCUGGCCAUGUGGCCAAGCUGCAGGAACUGCUGGAAAAACUCAACUCCGAGCUUGCAGAGCCAGGAUGUCAUUAGGCACGGCAGGGAGGAGCAGGAAAACAAACACCUGGCACCACCACAUCCCUUUAGCAAGGAGGGUUGUGGUGUAAAAGGCAAAGACUGGUCUGUGGCAUUCACAUUCUCUGAACGGAGAGAGACAUCAUUCUCCCUCCCAGGAUUUCUCCUGGGGAAGGCAGUGAGAAGCUCAGAGAAAAAGAGAAUAAUUCUUACCUACUUGCUGCUCCUGUUGUUUGGCACACGUGGAAUGUCUUAUGAGAUUGUUUACCAAAGGUGAUGGCUGUUUGGAUUGAUUGGCCAAUUGGGUAAAAGCUGUGUUGUGAUGGUUGGAGACAGUCAUGGGUUUUUCUGGAAUAUCUUUUCAGUAUAGUAUCUUUUUAGUAUUUAUAGGGGAUAUUUUUGCCCAAAAUCUGGGAGGAACGAUGAGGAGCACUCCAUCUUAUCAGAAGGCUAAUUAAUUACUUUAUUAUACUAUAUUAUUCUAUAUUAUAUUACAUUAUAUUGCAUUACACCUAAACUGAAUCUGCCAAGCACUGCACUGCCCAGCAUCUCGUGACUGUCAGCUGACAGUCCUGACACACACCUGGAUUCAAUUGGUCACUGAAUCAAAACUCUCACACCAGAAUCCAAUUCCCUCCAGGUAAACAAUGCUCCACAAUGCAUUCCACUUGUGAGCAAGGCAGGAGCAGUAAAUGAGAUAAGAAUUGUUUGGAUCAUUCUUUUCUCUGCUUCUCUUGGGUUCAGAGAAUGUGAAUCCCACAAGUAUUCUUUAGUACAGUAUCUCUUUAUGUAAUUUAGUAUAGUAUUAAUGUAAUAUGGUAUAGCUUAAUAAAGCAUUUGUUCAGCAUUCCUGAAUCAUGGAGUCAGAGCACAUUAUUCCCCAGAUGGGGGUCAGCCAUCUACUACAGUGGUCUAAGAGGUAAACCCAGCAUUUGCAGAGCAUCCUCCUGCCUGCCAUGAGCUGGGACUGACAGAAGGUCUCAUUGCAGCCAUCAGCUGUGGGGAUGACAGGAUUUGUGCUCCAAGCCCGGGCUCUGGGCUGGUCUCAGGGCCUCUGAGACAGGCCAGGGUGCUGCAGUGUGCAUGAGCAAUAAGAGGGGUCUCCUAUUAGCACCGACCUUUGAGGAUGUGAAAGU
Molecule: long non-coding RNA, 2189 nt
Organism: Passer domesticus (house sparrow)
Lineage: Eukaryota; Metazoa; Chordata; Aves; Passeriformes; Passeridae
Exons: 4
Source: RefSeq, a predicted model, not a curated record